AUGGCGGAGGAAGCACUGGCGGCUGCAAUGGACAAGCUUGCGGACAUCAUGGCCGCGAAGAUGGUGGCUGCAGGUGAGAAGGCACCUGCUGAUGUGGGCUCGAGCGCUGCGCAGGCAGAGAUGGUGCAGAAGAUUGAGCUGGCUCCAAACGAGGUGAAGUUAGAAGGUGUAGAAAACUACCUGAGGUGGUCGAGGAGAGGUAAACUCAUCCUCAGAACUAAGUCACUGGAAGACUAUGCUCUUGGUGAGGUGAAGGAACCAGAAGACAAGAGGGGAGCUUCAUGGAAGAAAUGGAAUGCCACAGACAGUUUCGUGUUGAAUUGGCUGCUGAGUUCUCUAUCCCCUUCUGUUGCUGCUUCGGUGGAGGACCUCCCUACUGCUGCUGAGGUAUGGGCAGCGUUAGCUAGUAUGUACUCAGGGAAGGGAAAUGUCAUGUUGGUCUCCAAAAUUGAAGAAACUGUGCAUGAUCUCACUCAAGGUGAUAGGACUGUAAUGAUGUAUGUUGAAGAGCUGAAACAUCUUUGGGCUGAUUUAGACUAUCUUGCACCUAUUGUGUUGCCACAUGCUGAGUGUGCAGUGAUAGCUAGAAAGUGGGUUGAGGAUAGGCGUGUCCUCAAGUUUUUGAAGGGGCUGGACUCCAUGUUUGAGAAUAGAAGGGCUAUCUUAAUGCAACAAGCUGAGUUGCCGUCACUAAGAGAUGCCAUUGCUGCUAUAGCACAGAAGGAGACUAGACUGAAAGCUGUGGAGCGGUCAAAGGUGGCUUCCAGACCUGCUUAUCACAUAAUGAAUAGGCCUGAGACAAGAGACUGCCACAAUUGUGGGCUGAAAGGGCAUCUCAGUUACCAGUGCACAGCCCCAUCGAAGAGAGACAACAAAGGCAGAGGAGGUUACAGAGGCAGUUACAGAGGAGAUGGUAGGGGAUACUAUCGUGGAAGCAACAACAGGGGCAGAAGUGCUCCAAGUAACUAUAACAACUACAAUCGCUACCAAGGGGAGGCCAGAGCGAAUGUAUCUGUCAUGAGUGAGGGUCAGUCCAGUUCUUCUCAUAGUCAAGACAUGAGAAAUGAGCAGCAGGGUCAAGACAAGAGGAACGAACAGCAAGCGGAGACAGUGUUUGGUGACUUUGCUCAUUUUGUGUACUCUGAUGAAGGAGAUGGGAACUGGGAGGAGGCUUGGGGCAGGAACCAGGCAUAG
This 1194-nucleotide ribosomal RNA is filed under the name Triticum aestivum (bread wheat). Its description in RNAcentral is "partial small subunit ribosomal RNA". Lineage: Eukaryota; Viridiplantae; Streptophyta; Magnoliopsida; Poales; Poaceae. The record is from RNAcentral.